UACGGAGGAUUCAAGCGUUAUCCGGAUUUAUUGGGUUUAAAGGGAACGCAGGCGGUCUUUUAAGUCUGAUGUGAAAGCCUUCGGCUUAACCGGAGUAGUGCAUUGGAAACUGGGAGACUUGAGUGCAGAAGAGGAGAGUGGAACUCCAUGUGUAGCGGUGAAAUGCGUAGAUAUAUGGAAGAACACCAGUGGCGGAGGCGGCUUACUGGACGGUAACUGACGCUGAGGCUCGAAAGCGUGGGGAGCAAACAGG
This 253-nucleotide ribosomal RNA is filed under the name uncultured Lactobacillus sp. RNAcentral's name for it is "partial 16S ribosomal RNA". It matches the Rfam family "Bacterial small subunit ribosomal RNA", at positions 524 to 776 of the family's 1533-position model. The record is from RNAcentral. Lineage: Bacteria; Bacillati; Bacillota; Bacilli; Lactobacillales; Lactobacillaceae.